GAUGAACGCUAGCGGCAGGCCUAACACAUGCAAGUCGAGGGGUAACUAGAGUGAUAGCAAUAUUACUUUGGCUAGACCGGCGCACGGGUGCGUAACACGUAUGCAACCUACCUUAUACUGGGGAAUAACUUCGAGAAAUCGGCGCUAAUACCCACUAACAUUGCGAAGAGGCAUCUCUUUGCAAUUAAAGCUCCGGCGGUAUAAGAUGGGCAUGCGUCCAAUUAGCUAGUUGGUGAGGUAACGGCUCACCACGGCGACGAUUGGUAGGGGUUCUGAGAGGAUGAUCCCCCGCACUGGUACUGAGACACGGACCGGACUCCUACGGGAGGCAGCAGUGAGGAAUAUUGGACAAUGGGCGCAAGCCUGAUCCAGCCAUGCCGCGUGCAGGAUGACGGUCGUAUGGAUUGUAAACUGCUUUUGUACAGGAAGAAACACUCCCUCGUGAGGGAGCUUGACGGUACUGUAAGAAUAAGGAUCGGCUAACUCCGUGCCAGCCGCCGCGGUAA
RNAcentral lists this ribosomal RNA (506 nucleotides) under uncultured bacterium. RNAcentral describes it as "partial 16S ribosomal RNA". It matches the Rfam family "Bacterial small subunit ribosomal RNA", at positions 28 to 523 of the family's 1533-position model. The record is from RNAcentral.